Molecule: ribosomal RNA, 630 nt
Filed under: uncultured bacterium
Lineage: Bacteria
Description: bacterial SSU rRNA
Rfam family: Bacterial small subunit ribosomal RNA
Source: RNAcentral
CCUGGGGAGUACGACCGCAAGGUUGAAACUCAAAGGAAUUGACGGGGGCCCGCACAAGCGGUGGAGCAUGUGGUUUAAUUCGAAGCAACGCGAAGAACCUUACCAGGUCUUGACAUCCCGGUGCCCGUCCUAGAGAUAGGAUUUUGCUUCGGCACACCGGUGACAGGUGGUGCAUGGUUGUCGUCAGCUCGUGUCGUGAGAUGUUGGGUUAAGUCCCGCAACGAGCGCAACCCUUAUUGUUAGUUGCCAUCAUUGAGUUGGGCACUCUAGCGAGACUGCCGGUAAUAAACCGGAGGAAGGUGGGGAUGACGUCAAAUCAUCAUGCCCCUUAUGACCUGGGCUACACACGUGCUACAAUGGCUGGUACAACGAGUCGCAAGUCGGUGACGGCAAGCUAAUCUCUUAAAGCCAGUCUCAGUUCGGAUUGUAGGCUGCAACUCGCCUACAUGAAGUCGGAAUCGCUAGUAAUCGCGGAUCAGCACGCCGCGGUGAAUACGUUCCCGGGCCUUGUACACACCGCCCGUCACACCACGAGAGUUUGUAACACCCGAAGUCGGUGAGGUAACCUUUUAGGAGCCAGCCGCCUAAGGUGGGAUAGAUGAUUGGGGUGAAGUCGUAACAAGGUAGCCG